This 251-nucleotide ribosomal RNA is filed under the name uncultured prokaryote. RNAcentral's name for it is "partial 16S rRNA". It matches the Rfam family "Archaeal small subunit ribosomal RNA", at positions 475 to 726 of the family's 1478-position model. The record is from RNAcentral.
ACCGGCGGCUCGAGUGGUGGCCACUAUUACUGGGCUUAAAGCGUUCGUAGCUGGCUUGUUAAGUCUCUGGGGAAAUCUUCCGGCUCAACCGGAAGGCGUCUCAGGGAUACUGGCAGGCUAGGGACCGGAAGAGGGGAGAGGUAAUCCAGGGUUAGGAUUAAAACCCGGUAAUCCUGGGGGAACCACCUGGGCGGAAGGCGUCCCCCCAGGAGGCUCCCGCCGGUGAGGAACGAAAGCUGGGGAGCAAACCG